ACGAACGCUGGCGGCGUGCUUAACACAUGCAAGUCGAACGGUGAACUCCGCUUGCGGGGGGAUCAGUGGCGAACGGGUGAGUAACACGUGGGCAACCUGCCCUCAGCUCUGGGAUAACUCCAAGAAAUUGGGGCUAAUACCGGAUAUGACCGCUGACCGCAUGGUCUGGUGGUGGAAAGAUUUAUCGGCUGGGGAUGGGCCCGCGGCCUAUCAGCUUGUUGGUGGGGUAGUGGCCUACCAAGGCGACGACGGGUAGCCGGCCUGAGAGGGUGACCGGCCACACUGGGACUGUGACACGGCCCAGACUCCUACGGGAGGCAGCAGUGGGGAAUAUUGCGCAAUGGGCGAAAGCCUGACGCAGCGACGCCGCGUGGGGGAUGACGGCCUUCGGGUUGUAAACCUCUUUCAGCAGGGACGAAGCGAAAGUGACGGUACCUGCAGAAGAAGCACCGGCCAACUACGUG
This 464-nucleotide ribosomal RNA is filed under the name uncultured bacterium. RNAcentral's name for it is "partial 16S ribosomal RNA". It matches the Rfam family "Bacterial small subunit ribosomal RNA", at positions 29 to 507 of the family's 1533-position model. The record is from RNAcentral.